UCCAAUUCUUCCAAAUCCAUUGAUGGCUACCUUCAAUUUUGCCUCCACUACUCUACUAUUAUUAUUAUUAUUCUUUCCAGCUCCACUAAUAACAGAGGUUUGGUAAGCAACAAGAGAUAGCAAGUCAACGUUAGUUUUCCAUCCCACUCCGAAUGGAACGGCAGAUGAGGUUCGAAGGCCAGUGAACUCUGAGAAUGAUCCUUUAUUCUUGCUGACGUGGACAGAAGAAUUGGCU
RNAcentral lists this unclassified non-coding RNA (235 nucleotides) under Hevea brasiliensis (rubber tree). Lineage: Eukaryota; Viridiplantae; Streptophyta; Magnoliopsida; Malpighiales; Euphorbiaceae. The record is from RNAcentral.